UAAUCUGAUAGAGGUUGCGGUCGACAAGACUAGCACGGUGGAGUUCCAGUCAGGGACAUUGAUGCCGCGCGAAAGGGGACACCGCCGAAGUUGUGCACUUGACGCGUGCAUAGCUGGGACGCUGGUUAAUAGCCGGCGGACUGUCGUCGACUUUCGACGGAGCGCUAUCGCAACU
This 175-nucleotide non-coding RNA is filed under the name Lacticaseibacillus sharpeae. Its description in RNAcentral is "Lactobacillus sharpeae Lysine sequence". It matches the Rfam family "Lysine riboswitch aptamer". Rfam says of the family: Riboswitches are metabolite binding domains within certain messenger RNAs that serve as precision sensors for their corresponding targets. The record is from RNAcentral. Lineage: Bacteria; Bacillati; Bacillota; Bacilli; Lactobacillales; Lactobacillaceae. RNAcentral also lists the same sequence under 1 other name.